This 634-nucleotide ribosomal RNA is filed under the name Tomentella brunneogrisea. RNAcentral's name for it is "partial large subunit ribosomal RNA". It matches the Rfam family "Eukaryotic large subunit ribosomal RNA", at positions 39 to 654 of the family's 3401-position model. Lineage: Eukaryota; Fungi; Basidiomycota; Agaricomycetes; Thelephorales; Thelephoraceae. The record is from RNAcentral.
CAUAUCAAUAAGCGGAGGAAAAGAAACUAACAAGGAUUCCCCUAGUAACUGCGAGUGAAGCGGGAAGAGCUCAAAUUUAAAAUCUGGCGUGCCUCCGGUCGUCCGAGUUGUAGUCUGGAGAAGCGUUUUCCGUGUUGGACCGUGUAUAAGUCUCUUGGAACAGGGCGUCAUAGAGGGUGAGAAUCCCGUCUUUGACACGGACUACCAAUGCUUUGCGAUGCGCUCUCAAAGAGUCGAGUUGUUUGGGAAUGCAGCUCAAAAUGGGUGGUAAAUUCCAUCUAAAGCUAAAUAUAGGCGAGAGACCGAUAGCGAACAAGUACCGUGAGGGAAAGAUGAAAAGCACUUUGGAAAGAGAGUUAAACAGUACGUGAAAUUGCUGAAAGGGAAACGCUUGAAGUCAGUCAUGUCUGCCAGGACUCAGCCUUGCUUCUGCUUGGUGCACUUUCUGGUUUGACGGGCCAACAUCAAUUUUGACCGUUGGAGAAAGGCUUUGGGAAUGUGGCACCUUUGGGUGUGUUAUAGCCCUUUGUCGUAUACAACGGUUGGGAUUGAGGACUGCAGCACGCCUUCAUGGCCGGGGUUCGCCCACGUACGUGCUUAGGAUGUUGGCAUAAUGGCUUUAAGCGACCCGUCA